GGAGUAGAAGUAUCCUUCGAUGCAGGCUGGCAGAAGCGUGGUAGUGGAAGAUCAUACAACAGUUUAUCAGGUCAUGCCUGUAUGAUUGGUACCAAAACAGGCAAGAUUAUCAGCUACGAUGUUAGAAACAAGAGCUGCCGUAUUUGUUAAAAUGCUGCAUUGUCCGAAGAACCUCCACGGCAACAUGACUGCAGGAAAAACUGGGAUGGUAGUGCUAAAGGGAUGGAAUGUGACAUGGCUGUAAGCAUGCUAAAAGACCUUGAGGCCAAGAACAUAAGUGUGGAGACAAUUGUGAUGGACGA
Saccostrea cuccullata (small rock oyster) is the source of this 302-nucleotide long non-coding RNA. RefSeq lists it as uncharacterized. The record is from RefSeq and is a predicted model, not a curated record. The transcript is spliced from 3 exons. Lineage: Eukaryota; Metazoa; Mollusca; Bivalvia; Ostreida; Ostreidae.